AUUGAACGCUGGCGGCAGGCCUAACACAUGCAAGUCGAACGGUAACAGGAAGAAGCUUGCUUCUUUGCUGACGAGUGGCGGACGGGUGAGUAAUGUCUGGGAAACUGCCUGAUGGAGGGGGAUAACUACUGGAAACGGUAGCUAAUACCGCAUAACGUCGCAAGACCAAAGAGGGGGACCUUCGGGCCUCUUGCCAUCGGAUGUGCCCAGAUGGGAUUAGCUUGUAGGUGGGGUAACGGCUCACCUAGGCGACGAUCCCUAGCUGGUCUGAGAGGAUGACCAGCCACACUGGAACUGAGACACGGUCCAGACUCCUACGGGAGGCAGCAGUGGGGAAUAUUGCACAAUGGGCGCAAGCCUGAUGCAGCCAUGCCGCGUGUAUGAAGAAGGCCUUCGGGUUGUAAAGUACUUUCAGCGGGGAGGAAGGGAGUAAAGUUAAUACCUUUGCUCAUUGACGUUACCCGCAGAAGAAGCACCGGCUAACUCCGUG
RNAcentral lists this ribosomal RNA (490 nucleotides) under uncultured bacterium. Its description in RNAcentral is "partial 16S ribosomal RNA". It matches the Rfam family "Bacterial small subunit ribosomal RNA", at positions 30 to 507 of the family's 1533-position model. The record is from RNAcentral.